AAUAAAGUGCCUGACAAAAGGAUUAUCUUGAUAGGGUAAAUUAUAUACAAACUUUGUAUCUUUAUUA
Molecule: transfer RNA, 67 nt
Filed under: Anomolachesilla palaciosi
Lineage: Eukaryota; Metazoa; Arthropoda; Insecta; Psocodea; Lachesillidae
Description: tRNA-Ile
Source: RNAcentral